Molecule: transfer RNA, 95 nt
Filed under: Agromyces bauzanensis
Lineage: Bacteria; Bacillati; Actinomycetota; Actinomycetes; Micrococcales; Microbacteriaceae
Description: tRNA-Tyr
Source: RNAcentral
GUCGAGCUUCGCGGGUGCAGUCGCGGCGAGUCGGUAGCGCUCGUCGUCGGCGGAUGCCGCGUAGGCGAGCCGCUCCGACUGCGGCAGGUCGAUGC